UGAGGAAUAUUGGUCAAUGGACGAGAGUCUGAACCAGCCAAGUAGCGUGCAGGAUGACGGCCCUAUGGGUUGUAAACUGCUUUUGUUUGGGAAUAAUCGACAUUACGUGUAAUGUUUUGCAUGUACCAUUCGAAUAAGGACCGGCUAAUUCCGUGCCAGCAGCCGCGGUAAUACGGAAGGUCCAGGCGUUAUCCGGAUUUAUUGGGUUUAAAGGGAGCGUAGGCUGUUUGUUAAGCGUGUUGUGAAAUGUAAGAGCUCAACUUUUAGAUUGCAGCGCGAACUGGCAGACUUGAGUGCGCACAACGUAGGCGGAAUUCAUGGUGUAGCGGUGAAAUGCUUAGAUAUCAUGACGAACUCCGAUUGCGAAGGCAGCUUACGGGAGCGCAACUGACGCUAUAGCUCGAAGGUGCGGGUAUCGAACAGG
This 424-nucleotide ribosomal RNA is filed under the name Verrucomicrobiota bacterium. RNAcentral's name for it is "Verrucomicrobia bacterium partial 16S ribosomal RNA". It matches the Rfam family "Bacterial small subunit ribosomal RNA", at positions 355 to 776 of the family's 1533-position model. The record is from RNAcentral. Lineage: Bacteria; Pseudomonadati; Verrucomicrobiota.